Molecule: long non-coding RNA, 871 nt
Filed under: Homo sapiens (human)
Lineage: Eukaryota; Metazoa; Chordata; Mammalia; Primates; Hominidae
Description: HSALNT0007661
Source: RNAcentral
UUGGCACAAAUUGCUGGAGCUGAAUGUACCAGGGUGGGUGAAGGGGAGGAUGAGGUCAGAGAGGUAACAGGGCCAGGCAAGCCAUUGUCAGGAUUUUGGAUUUUACUGUGUACGGAAUGUGUUUGCCAGAACAAUGCGGGAGUUGCAGAGAGAGGUGUCCUGUGUUUGUUCCCAGUCUUCCUUCACUCACCUGCACCUGCUCCUGCCCUGCUUCGGCCAACAUGUUCUAUGCAGGGUGGUUUUGCUGAUGAGACAGCUGCAGUUUGGGGAGUGUGAUAUCAAGGAAAGCAGUGUCUUGAGUCUGUCACUUUCUCUCUCUGUCCCAUUGGGCUCACUGAUGUCACUUAGAGGAAGGCAGGGGCACAAGAUGGGAGGACCCAGAGCUCCGGGUUCUUAAGUACGGAUUUAAUUAAAUGAUAGACAAAAAGUAGAGUGGCACAAGUCAAACUCAAAAAAUAGUAACAACAAAAUCAAUUUCAAAAUAAGCAACAGCAAUAAAUGUUACCUACUAUUUUACGAAUGAAAAUACUGAGACCAAUAAAGGCAUUAUAGUAUACAUAGCCUUGGAAUCAGAAGACCAAGAACAUACAAGAGAACAUAGCCUUGGAAUCAGAAGACCAAGAAACAAUUUAACUCUGCCCCUCUAGAGCUCUGAGAACUUGGGCAAGCCUUUUACCCUCUGGAAUUUUUGCCACCUUCAAUGAGAAAGACUGAAACAAAAAACUCAGAAGAAAGAAAGAGACUGAGAUAGCAAAUAUGACAAACUGUUAAAAAUUCAUGAAUCUGUUAUGGAAUACUAUGCAGCCAUAAAAAAGGAUGAGUUCCUGUCCUUUGCAAGGACGUGUAUGAAGCUGGAAACCAUCAUUCUGAG